GUAAUCAAAAAACCCUCUGAAGUAACAUGGACGUGUCAAGUCUGGCUUGAAGAGACAAUCUAUCUGCACCUUUUCUGGUAAAAAGUGAAGUACUCUUGUUGUUAUUUGCUGUUCAGACUGAAGAGGACACACACAAGCCCAGACUUCAGAGUUUUCCUCUGCUUCUAAGCUUCUAGGGUGCAGAUGAUGUCUCAUAUCCGUGUGUUUCUGCUUCUCUGCACGUUCCUGCUGAUCUUCUUCUGUGCAGCAGGUGUUCCAGCUCACAGGGAGAUCAGGGCGAAGAGGAGCGUCCCAUACUGGAACCUGUGGUCAUCUGACUUCUAUGGUUGGGUGGACGUGCUGCGUUCUCAGAGCGGAUACGACACACUUCUGGACUUGGCAAGGAACUACUGGGCUCACUAUCCCGUUGCAGGUUUUCUAGGUUACGGAAGCACCCCAGGCCAAACAGACGGUCCAGAACUGGAAGUUGAAGAUUUAAAAUAACAUCGCAAUGUCCUUCCCACUGGGCUUCCUCUAUGUACCCCUUCGCUAGCUGUCUGGAUUUUAUCUAAUACUGCGCAUGUCUUUUCCUUAUGGUGCAUUCUCUUGUGGGUUUUUUGCCAUCUGGGAAUCCUUUCCACAGGUUUAGUUUCACUCAGCUUUUUAUUCUUGCAAAAUAACUGUCCGCGCAAAUGAUCCGUGUAAUUCAGAAAUGUUUGUUGUCAGUGCAACAUUAAGCAAACCAGUUUUGUUACCAAUUUUCGAAAUGUAAGUGCAACAAUAAAUGCAUUCUAUGAAAGAC
Danio aesculapii is the source of this 781-nucleotide long non-coding RNA. RefSeq lists it as uncharacterized. The record is from RefSeq and is a predicted model, not a curated record. NCBI's taxonomy places the organism in Eukaryota, Metazoa, Chordata, Actinopteri, Cypriniformes, Danionidae. The transcript is spliced from 3 exons.